AAACUUGCUAAGACAUCCCAUAGUGGACUGAGCAAGGGGGGAGCUGAACAGAAGAACCUUGCUAAGACAUCCCAUAGUGGACUGAGCAAGGGGGAGCUGAACAGAAGAACCUUGCUAAGAUGUCCCAUAGUAGACUGAGCAAGAAAGAGCUGGUAUCACUGAGCCAGAGAUUACGGCUCUCCAGAAGAGGAGCAGGAUUGCUGUGUCCUGUGGGGAGAACAUCCCCCAUCACACCAGUGAAGUACAAGGCAGACAAGAUAUUCAAUGUAUGGUGCUUGUGAAGCCAGCGUGUCAGCAAAUGCAGCCCAGGAUACAGAAACCGAGUCCCGUGCCCUGCAGCCUGCACACCAGGUCUUGUCUGUCACAAUCAGACGCCCAUUCAUGCUUCCUCACCAAAACAAAGAUGGGUCCUAAUUAGAUGCUGAACCACCCGUGCAGAAGUUGGACCCCUCCAAUUUGAGUCCAUUGUUGUCUACAGUUCUCAAGAGAUGCCCGUGGCCUCCCCUUGGCACAGCUGGGGAAGAAGCAGGAACAGCGGCGAAGAGCUCUGGCUUGGCCCCAGACCGAGUUCAAAUCCCAGCCCCCUUCAGCUCUACUCGAUACAACCUGGGACAAGGCACUAAGCCUGAACACUUCCUCCUCGGCAAAAAGAGGUCAUGAAUUUACACUGUAGAGGUUUUGUGGUCAUUAAAUGAUCGAUGAAGACAAUUCACUUUCGGUAAAUGCCCAAUCAGUGUUAAGAAUUAUUAUAAGGCAAGAGAGAAAGAUGGGAAAGUAAGGGACAUGAGGAGCAGUGCUGGGCUGCGUCUCCGCACCUCUGCUGACAACCACGAGGUUCAGCUAUCUAUAAAAAGAAAGUACUCUAAGAAUUAUAUCACACCAUUGGGCAAGUGCCACAGGCUGACAAGUCUACAUACUUCACAACUGUCAAAACCAAAUCAGGUCUCAACUGAGAUCUUGGACUCCUGAAGUGUUUGCCAAGCCAGGCCGUGAUGGUGUACACCUUUAAUCCCAGCACAUGGGAGGCAGAGGCAGAAGGAUCUCUGUGAGUUCAAAGCCAGCCUGGUCUACAGAGUGAGUUCCAGGACAGCUAAAAGGUACAUAGAGAAACCCUGUCUUGGAAUAGACAGACAGACAGACAGACAGACAGACAGACAGACGAGUGUUUGUCAAAGCCUGCAAGCGCCCGCUGGAGCACAGUCCUGAGGAUGCCUCUGGCUUGUUGCUCACUUGCUGUACUGGACAUGCUGUCUGUUUUCCAGUCUCCACGUCUCAGCUCCGUCCUGGGGGGAAACACGCUCUUCCUGGGGCCGCUCUCAUACACUCCAAACUCCACUUUUCCAGGCAGCAGCUGCGAGUGCCGGAUUGGCACUGUGAUCUCCAGAUCUGGAACCAGAAGGAAGAAAGAGAUUCAGGCUGGCUGUCGUUGCUAGAUGUCUCUCGUGCUCACUGUCUACCUGCCUGCUGGGCCUGGGCCUGAAGGGGAGAGGGGAGACCCUGGAGUCUUACCCCACUUCAGCACUGAAAAGCCACAGAAUCCAGUGUGGCCCAGCAGAGGGGAGGGAUGGCAGAGCAUGAGAGAGAGGCAGAAGCAUUCUUCCACUUCAGAGAGCAGAAAGAGGAUGCGCUUAGGUCAGGCUUGGGCUCCCAGCCCCACCACUCAGGUGCUAUGCAGCCAACCUCUCUCAGUUAGACCCCUGUCUAAGGAGGGAAUGGUGAACGCCACUGAUGGUAAUAAACCACCCCGCGCACCCGCUCAUUGGAAAGGUUCCCGUGUGUUUACUUGAUUGAAUCCUCAUAAAACCCAAGAAACCUGCACUGGUACUGCACUCCCAGAAGAAAUGAAGGCACAGAAGAGUGAACCUGCCUCCCCAGUGCACAGCUGGAAGGACCGAUCUGAGAUGUGGACCCUGGCUCUGGAGUCCAGGCCCUUCCCCACUCCUACGGUCAAGAGCCUCUUGCUCCCUGAAUUUGUUACGGCUGACAGCUGAGGGGGUAUGGGAUGGGCAACCUGCCCUGACAGCAGUGGCCCAGAGAGUGUGGGACCAAAGCCCUCCAUGCUUAGAAAGACUGUGACUUCGGAGGCGGAUUCAUGGUAAAGGCACAGUCCUUACCCGGCUAGGGUCGACCUGACCCCUUCAAGGCUGGGUACAGCCAGUGGUUUGUCUUUAGCCCUCUUGAGAUGUCUACCCCAGGGUCCUGGAAGCAUAAAUACCUCACACUAGUGAGCAGAAUGAAAUGCCUGGUGUAUCACCAGCUUUCUCCCCAGGGGGGUGCGAGGCAGGUCGGAAGGGAAGCCAUGAGAGCAGGGGUAAAGAGGAGGCUGCCUUGGGACCGUGUGCUCGCUUCCGGGUACUGCCUCUCUUCACUCUGUUCUUCCACGGAACGAGUGUGGUAGGAAAGUCAGAGGUGACUCCCCGUGCCAAAGCCAGAGACCCGCCAAGAAAGCUAAUGAGUAAACUAGAACAGUACGAAAGAGCAGUGUGAGGGCAGGGGGCUGGACACAGUGAGCAGCCUGCAAAAGAACACCUGAAAUGUGUUUUACUGGCUUUCAUAGACCCCAGCCUUCCUCAUUCUAGAGAAACUGGUUCUAGGGGUAGGCCAGGGGCCUACUGAUAGCCAGCUCCUUCGUGGGACAGGGCGUGUUUUUCGGGCCCAGGCUCUUUGGUUACACUGCAAUUCUCACUGCCCUGAGCGCAGAACACAGCCAAGACAGGCUUUCAUGGGGUGAACCGUGAGUCUCGGAGCCCAUGUGGAUAUAUCAUUUCCUUCUUCCCUUCUCAGCUUUUAUUUACCUUUUUAAAAAGUCACUUUAAGUCUGACUAAUUAACUUUAAGGUGGUAUUUUCUACCACCCUCAACCAGUUCUUUUGAGAAGGAAAGUAAAAUACAUGGGAAGAAAAAGACCAGAAGUCAAAGGUUCAAAAAUGCAGGACCAGGCUAAAUGUUUUUAAGAUACCCCCGCUCUUUGCCCGAAGGAACGCUGUCAGGAUCAGUUUUCAUGAUUAUACCCAUCGCUUUCCUGAAGUGCAUUCAUCUGCAUUAUUGCUUCCCCUUGUGCUUUGGGAGUUUUCCAUUCAGUAGGUGAUUAUAAUCCUAUGGGGAAACUGAGUCACACACUGGGUAAAGGAAUGGUCCCAGAUACAGAAGUGAUUCAGCAAUAACACGAGGAGCCAAAUCCAGGUUUCCUGGGCCUCGGCUGGCUGGCUCUGCCUCCCAGGCCAUACCCAGAAUGCAAAUAUUGACUAUCUUCCCGCGGGGCCACAGCAUCCACCAAGUUCCACGUUUACAGCUGAUUUCCUGUGCCCAUCAACUGCAUGUACUACAAAGAACAAAGCCACUCCCUGGGGCCGAAGACUAGGAAAGGAGGACCCAUUUUUAAGGAUCCGAGGUCCUUGGUGUCCCAACCCCAAUUAAAGAAAAAUGAUAGUUAUUUUCUAAAGCAACUAGAGUUUCCACAUCUGAGUCAGCCUGGGUUUAGAGUGAGUUCCGUUCUUCGCAAAGGUCUCGCAGACGGACGUGCCACUCAUCAACCCCGAAGUUUUCGUUGGCCAGUGAGACGAAUGCCAAUAGUUCUCCACAGAGGUAUUUCCUCCAGUGGCGACAGAAGCUCAACACUGAGGACAGGUUUUCAAAAGGAGCAGUGAUGGUCAAGGUACUGGCCUCCACCCUGGGGGUCCUAAUCUACUUCUUCUCUCCCAACCCCACCCAGUUCUUAGCCUGGCCCCACAAGCACACACGGAGAGGCCCCGAGGCCCCUAACGAGCACAGUGGGAAAACCCACAGCCUCGGGCAUGGCAAGCCAGUAUGUAAAUUCAUAGUAGACGUUUACAGAGUUCAAUAAGUCAUAUCUACCCAGCCAUAAAUGACGCCUUCUCUUUGGCAGCUGCUCUGAUAUCUCCUGCCUCGUGCCGAAGGACAGGGUCCACCUUCCUACUACCCAGUGCCUGGUGUCCCUGGCCAGAACAAGGGACCAGAUCUUCUGGAACCGGAGUUACAAAUAAUUGUAAGCGAUCAUCUAAGUUCUGGAAACCACCUGGGUCCUGUGCAAGAACAGCAAGUGUUCUUUACCCCUGAGCCACCUCUCCACCUUUGCUCUUCAUAUUUUAUCACAAUAAAAAUGAAAAGCCUUCCACCAGAAACCCCAGCAGUGGCGCCAGCCGUGAGCAGGGCAGCCAUCCUCGGGCAGAGGUGCCAGAGGGCACCUCUCAGGACACUAACAAUAGCGGCCCUCUCGAACACUCUUUUGAAACCAAGAAGCUCAAUGGCAAGGCCCUGGGCAAGGCCCUGAGCAGCCGGGCUGAGGAACCGCCCUCGCCUGUCCCCAAGGCCUCUGGUUCCACUCUCCACAGUGCGUCUGGCAACUGUUCCAGGACCCAGUCUGAUGACAGUGAGGACAGGAGCCUUGACACCCUCUGUGCCAACCACAACAAUGGACACCUGCACCCCCGGCCCCCUCACCCCCACAACAAUGGCCAGAACUCUGGGGAGCUGGAGACAGUAGUCUGCUCUUCCCCGGGACACCCAGACACUGACCAUGAUAACCCACCCUUGACAGGGAUGCUUCUGCACAAAGAUUGUUGUGGGUCUGAAAUGGCCUGUGAGACCCCCAGUGCUGGAGCGAGAGAAGACCCCUCGGACCCCUCGGCCAUGGACAGCAGCAAGGUUGUUCAUAGCCACAGUGGCCUCAAAAGGCACCGAAUUGAAUUGGAAGACACAGAUUCAGAGAAUUCCUCCUCAGAGAAGAAACUAAAAACAUGAUAAAUACAAAGGGAAAACAAAAAGCUACAGAAAGUAGCCUUACAAAGUAAUUUUUUCUUGUUUAGUGAACACAGAGGAAAGGAAAAAGUAUUCAAGGCGCAUAAAAAAAAUAAAAAAAAGAAAAGAAAAGAAAAGCAAGGCUACUCUUGGGUUGAUAGGUGGUACACUCUCCCCCAGAGGGACUGCUUGCCAUCCUGAGCCAUUCCUCUGUGUCUGUUUGAGCUGGACCUGGAAUGUCCCCUAAAGGCUCAUGUGCUAAGGGACUGGUCCCGCCACGGUGCUACUGUGAGGUGGUGGAAGCUUUAAAAGGCAGAGCCAAGGAGAGGUCUUUCGAUUAUAGGAGGUGGCCCUUGAAGGGGUCAGUGAGACCCCAGCCCGUGAGACCCCUUGUUGUUUCUUUUCUCGGAUGGGAGACAAUUUCGUGUUACCAUGUUCUCUGCAUGUGCAACCUCAUCCCAGGCUACAACGGAACAGGGCAACCAAUCAUAGACUCAAAGCCAUAAAACCGUAAGCCAAAAUAA
This is a non-coding RNA of Peromyscus maniculatus bairdii (prairie deer mouse), 5281 nucleotides long. Lineage: Eukaryota; Metazoa; Chordata; Mammalia; Rodentia; Cricetidae. The record is from RefSeq and is a predicted model, not a curated record.